AUUGAACGCUGGCGGCAUGCUUUACACAUGCAAGUCGAACGGUAACAGGCCGCAAGGCGCUGACGAGUGGCGAACGGGUGAGUAAUGCAUCGGAACGUGCCCAGUCGUGGGGGAUAACUACUCGAAAGAGUAGCUAAUACCGCAUACGAUCUAUGGAUGAAAGCGGGGGCCCUAAAGGCCCCCCCCGAUUGGGGCGGCCGUUGUCAGAUUAGGUAGUUGGUGGGGUAAAGGCUCACCAAGCCAACGAUCUGUAGCUGGUCUGAGAGGACGACCAGCCACACUGGGACUGAGACACGGCCCAGACUCCUACGGGAGGCAGCAGUGGGGAAUUUUGGACAAUGGGCGCAAGCCUGAUCCAGCAAUGCCGCGUGCAGGAAGAAGGCCUUCGGGUUGUAAACUGCUUUUGUACGGAACGAAACGGCUCUGGUUAAUACCCGGGGCUAAUGACGGUACCGUAAGAAUAAGCACCGGCUAACUACGUG
This 482-nucleotide ribosomal RNA is filed under the name uncultured bacterium. RNAcentral describes it as "partial 16S ribosomal RNA". It matches the Rfam family "Bacterial small subunit ribosomal RNA", at positions 30 to 507 of the family's 1533-position model. The record is from RNAcentral.